UCUGCUAAACCAAAGUAGUGAACCUGCAAAAUGUCUGACACCGAAGAUAAGAAGAAGGGUGCAAGCAAGGCAGCAACAGCCAAUGCCAAGGAGAAUGAAGCUGCAGCAGUUCCGAAGAAACGCGGUCGGCCUGCAGCCGAGAAAAAAGAGGCUCCUCCGAAAGAAUCAAAGCCUGAGGAGGUAGAAGACGAAGAGCCUGAAGAAGGAGAAGAGGAUGAGGAGCCCUCACCACCAAAGAGAGGUCGAGGCAGGCCCAAGAAAGGCACAACAUCUGCUCCUGCUCCGAAGAAGGUCCCAUCAGGCAGAGGCAGAGGACGGCCUCCAAAGAACAAGGGAAAAGCUGCAGCUGCUAGCGAAACUAACGGAGAUGCCUCCGAUUAACUGAGAAAAGGGCUCGUUUCUCUUCCAUCGAUAACUCACCAGCCUCUCUGGUUGUAAAAAUAUUGCUACCUAAUCUGGGCUCUCACAAUAAGCAGAUUCUUUCAGAGGUAUUAUAAUUACUUUUUAUUUGCAAUUUUUGCACUAUGAAAUGUAGAGACAAAGCUAUCUUUAUGGGUUUUACAUUCUCACGGAAAAUUUGGGCCCGUUCUUAUGGCAAUGACAAUCUGAAAAUGAAUUUUUCAUGUAUUUUACUAAAAUUGUUGUUCUGUGUUUUUUUGCAAUUUAAGCGGUUCAUUAAAUGGGCCCUGUUUUUUUUUAAAUUUUUCUAGUUGAAUUGGUUAUAAUUAAUGAAUUUCUCGUUACUUCUACAAAAAAAUUUAAUAGAUAGUUCUUAGAUUUUAAACUUCCAACUCAUUUUGAUUAAUAAUUUUUGGUUACCUCUCUUAAUUAAUUUAUUGGUAGCCUUUUUAGUCCUUCAAAGAUUGUGUUUUAUUUGACUGAAUGUUUUAUUUUAAGAUGAAGACUUCUUACUAUCAGUCUUAAAUUUUUCCUCACAUAAGUCAAAUCUCAUCUAUAAUAAGAAGUUACUAGUUAACCUUAGAAUAGUAGAAAGUCGUUUUUGUUUCUUUUUUUGCUAGUGUUCUAUGAAAUCAUCACAUACUUUGCUGUGAACUUUCUUAUAUUCUCUUUUCUUAUCUUAGGAGCUUAGGUAUAAGUAAAUCUUGACUUUAUAUAUGCAGGCCAUUAAUAAUGAAGUAAUUUUAACUCAUGAGUGAGAACAUAUGAUCUGACAACUUUCUAGAGUCCAAAUCAUUGUUUAUACUCUCUGUCACGAUUAUUCUCAUAACCAUAUCACUUUUUAUGGCUUUUAGCCCCUUCUUUUAAAAUCAUUGGUAUUUUUUAAAAUAUUUUCCACCAAUAGACUUGUAAUUUUAAUAUUUCCUUCCAUAGACAAAUUAACAAUGGUCAUUCAGUGUGGAGGAGUGUUUCCUCUCUUCUAUACACUGUUGUCUGGCUGCAAAAUCAUGUUCAUUUAUCACUCAUAGUUUUAUCUGGCAAGAUCUCUUUUCCUUCUCAUAAAGCUGCUAUUUGUCAUAUCAAUAAUACAAUUACAUAUUAAAAUGUAUUUCAAUUUCUCAAUUCUGUUUUAUUUACUUCAAACAACAGAAAGGUGCCCUUCUCAUACUCAGCACCCAGGCAGAAAGGAACCACCGUGUUUAUCAAAUAAAAAUUGUUUAUCUUCAUCUAAAAAAUUGCCUAGAGCAGUAAAUAAUUUUGUUCUCCCAUCAGAAAGUUGUUAAUUUUAAAGGAAAAUGGCUACGAAAAUUGUAUUAUGUACUGUACCUAUGUUCAACAUAUUUUAAAGGGAAAAUUGUUGCACAAUUUUAGAAACACUUUAAUCCCGUUGGUUCCUUUCUGCUAAAUGCAAUCCAAUUGCAGUGUGUAUCAGAAGAAAAAAAUAAAAUGUGCCUAGAAAAAUGAAAUAAAAAAACUCAAGUUCAAGAAAGAAUACUAACAGUAAGUCUUCCAAACUGGUGAUUAAAUUAAUCUUAUAAGCUAAAAUUCUUUCACAUGAGUCGAUGAACAUGUUAAGAAUUAUUUAGAGGGGAAAAAAAUAGGCACACAUAAACUUGAAUUAUGGUAUUUUAUAUUACUUUUUAAGCAAUUAAGAGGUAUUGCAUAUCUAUUACACAAAAUUAUAUCCUACUAAUAGGUACAAUGAGCCAUCAGAGCAUGAUUUGAUCAGCAAGACGCCUUAAAUAUGUCAAAUUCAGUAAUCUCUAAAUUCUAUUUUAAAUGGAGAAAAUAAUGUACAUUUUAACUCAAGCUGUAAGCAAGUUGAGCUGUUUUUACAGCAGGCUCAGGCCGCCAGCAGUUCCUCAAUUUUGAAGAGCAUGUUCAACAUUCUUGCCUCAACUUGUGGCCAGCCACAUACCUGCCAACACAAUUUGGUCUCAGGACAUUAAGAAAGCAAAAUAACACAAUUUGGUCCCAGGACAUUAAGAAAGCAAAAUAAAGACAAUUGCAACCUGUUAAUGCAAUAUUUAUGAGCAGAAAUUUUAUUAAAGCCUUUCAUGGGAUUAAUUCUGUAUGAAAAGUAACCUAAAUGCAAGCACAGCCACCAAGGCUCCCUUCAGUUGCCAUUCAUCGAUUUGAAGAAAAAGGAAAUAAUUCCCGAAUGACAUAACUACUUCAUACUUUGUACUGGCACCAUCUUAAUGACUUUUGCUGGGUUCCCACCGACAACAGCAUUAGCUGGCACAUCCUUCGUCACAACAGCGCCAGAACCAAUGACAGCAUUAUCACCGAUAGUGACACCUGGGUUUAUGAUAGCACAACCACCGAUCCAUACAUUAUCACCAAUUGUCACAGGUUUUGCAUACUCUUUGCCCGAAUUUCGCUCGACAGGAUCUAAAGGAUGUGUAGCAGUGUAGAUGUGCACAUUAGGUGCUAGCAUACAAUUCUUGCCAAUGCGGAUGGGACAUACAUCCAACAUCACGCAGCCAAAAUUAGCAUAGAAGUUGUCACCAAGGUAGAUGUUGUAUCCAUAGUCACAACGAAAGUCAGGCUCAAUAAAUGCCUUUUUGAAAGGCGGCAAAAGUUCAGUCAGUAUUUUUGACGCAACUCCUCAUCAUCUGGCCCUAACUGAUUAUAUUUGUGUACCAAUCGUCUUGCUCUGAUUCGCUCAGCCACAAGGGUGGGAUCCUCUGCAAUAUACAUCUCACCUGCAAUCAUUUUGCGUUUCCCCCUCGCACAGGGGGUUUUCUGAGUUAUCAGUGGUAGCCAUUUUAACGGAAGAAACUUCUUGCAAGGACGAUGACAGGGCCUUCGUUUUAAUCAGCUUUAUGCAUCCAAAUGUGAUAUGAAUUACCCAACGUUGGUGCACGUGGGCUGAAGAUUCAAACUGCAGGAGAGAUUUCUCUUGCAACUAAUUGACCUGAAAUUAAACAUGCUAAAUUAACAAACACAUUUGCAAAUACAAUAUUAGUCUUCAUCAAAUACAUGGCCAUGGCCAUCAAGGGGAAAAGUGACCUUAGUGCCGAAUAUUAAAAAUUGAGAUACCUACUGGUACUGGUGUGUAAAGAAGUGUUUUCUGAACAUUUUAGCACAGGGACAGCCUUUACUUUAGGUAUGACCUGCGCUCUACAUUAUUAGAAUUUGAAUUUAGUAAUUCAAAAUUAAUCUCUGGCCUGAGACGUUUCUGCCACUGGGUGAGCGCUGAAUAUUUUGAGCCUAGACAAUUAGUUUUCAUACAGCAAAUGAUCAUUAGGGGGCAAAUUUGAACAAUUUUUUGGGGGAUUCACAAAAAUUUUCUAAAACAGACUCUUGCUACCUGUUCCUAAUCUAACGUUGCCUGAUCA
This 3743-nucleotide long non-coding RNA is filed under the name Bemisia tabaci. RNAcentral describes it as "lncRNA ENSSSA2NGG008296". Lineage: Eukaryota; Metazoa; Arthropoda; Insecta; Hemiptera; Aleyrodidae. The record is from RNAcentral.